This 253-nucleotide ribosomal RNA is filed under the name uncultured bacterium. RNAcentral describes it as "partial 16S ribosomal RNA". It matches the Rfam family "Bacterial small subunit ribosomal RNA", at positions 524 to 776 of the family's 1533-position model. The record is from RNAcentral.
UACAGAGGGUGCGAGCGUUAAUCGGAAUUACUGGGCGUAAAGCGUGCGUAGACGGUCGUGUAAGUCGGAUGUGAAAUCCCCGGGCUCAACCUGGGAAUUGCAUUCGAGACUGCACGGCUGGGGUGCGGAAGAGGGAAGCGGAAUUUCCGGUGUAGCGGUGAAAUGCGUAGAUAUCGGAAGGAACAUCAGUGGCGAAAGCGGCUUCCUGGUCCAGCACCGACGUUCAGGCACGAAAGCGUGGGGAGCAAACAGG